This 253-nucleotide unclassified non-coding RNA is filed under the name Lysobacterales bacterium. RNAcentral's name for it is "partial 16S ribosomal RNA". It matches the Rfam family "Bacterial small subunit ribosomal RNA", at positions 524 to 776 of the family's 1533-position model. RNAcentral also lists the same sequence under 1 other name. Lineage: Bacteria; Pseudomonadati; Pseudomonadota; Gammaproteobacteria; Lysobacterales. The record is from RNAcentral.
UACGGAGGGUGCGAGCGUUAAUCGGAAUUACUGGGCGUAAAGCGUGCGUAGGCGGUUCGUUAAGUCGGAUGUGAAAUCCCCGGGCUCAACCUGGGACGUGCGUUCGAUACUGGCGGGCUGGAGUCUGGAAGAGGUUGGCGGAAUUCCCGGUGUAGCGGUGAAAUGCGUAGAUAUCGGGAGGAACAUCUGUGGCGAAGGCGGCCGACUGGUCCAAGACUGACGCUGAGGUACGAAAGCGUGGGGAGCAAACAGG